CCGCAGAAUAAACAUGUGGAGAAGGUCAUUGAUCACCUUGACUGAAGCACUGCAGACAAGAUAAAGACAGCCUGAUGCAGAGGAAGAUUGAGGACUAAGGGGCUUCAUCCACAGAUGGCAUUUUCCAGACAGGGUGGCUCUCUCUGUUAGCGGGCAGGACCUUCUGUUACUUGGAUCAUUCUAUAACAACAUUUAGAAGCAGUGGAAUAAAAUUGCAAAAUGAAACCAAGUCCAUUUAUUCAGCGGAAUCGAAUUGCAAGAUGAAACCACGUCUGGGAAGCAUAUUUUUUUACAGAAGAAUCUGCAGUUUAGUUUUGUUUAUUGCAACACAGGUGCAAAGGGUCAACCUCACCUCAUUUAUCUUUCAGGGCAUGUUAUUAUUAUUGGUCUGUGAAAGAAUCC
This 402-nucleotide long non-coding RNA is filed under the name Homo sapiens (human). RNAcentral's name for it is "non-protein coding LINC00944:6". Lineage: Eukaryota; Metazoa; Chordata; Mammalia; Primates; Hominidae. The record is from RNAcentral.